Molecule: non-coding RNA, 122 nt
Organism: Paramuricea clavata
Lineage: Eukaryota; Metazoa; Cnidaria; Anthozoa; Malacalcyonacea; Plexauridae
Source: the annotation of a GenBank genome assembly
AGACAGAUUUAGAUCGAGGACGCGGACGUCAAAGACGGCCUGAAAAUGGCGUCUUGUGCCCAUGUAUGGAUAUGCCACGCCAUUUUCACGUCGUCUUUGACGUCCUUGAUCUAAAUCUGUCU